GUUGGCAGCAUAUACACAUGGAGGUAUCCGAAUGUAACAAGGGUGAGGGAUAUGAGAAUAGCGUCCAAUCAUUUCCGAAGCAGUAUGCGUGGUUUUUCCUUUGUGUAAACAAGAUAGAUAAAUCCUUGGACUAUUAUACUAGUUAAAUCGCAGAACAGUGUUCUCGACUUUUUCGUAAAAAUUCUACUUCGUAGCGCGUCGUCGGCUACGGCAAGUGCAGAUGAUGAUGAUGAAACGGACCUGCGGACAAGUUUGGUCUGAAAUUGAGCCAAGCAGAGCUAUG
This 283-nucleotide long non-coding RNA is filed under the name Mytilus galloprovincialis (Mediterranean mussel). The record is from RNAcentral. Lineage: Eukaryota; Metazoa; Mollusca; Bivalvia; Mytilida; Mytilidae.